CCUACGGGAGGCAGCAGUGGGAAUAUUGCACAAUGGGGGAAACCCUGAUGCAGCGACGCCGCGUGAGCGAAGAAGGACUUCGGUAUGUAAAGCUCUAUCUGCAGGGGAGAAAAUGACGGUACCUGCGUAAGAAGCUCCGGCUAAAUACGUGCCAGCAGCCGCGGUAAUACGUAGGGAGCAAGCGUUAGCCGGAUUUACUGGGGGGAAAGGGAGCGAAGGCGGCCAGCCAAGUCUGGAGGGAAAUACAGGGGCUCAACCCCGGGGCUGCCUUGGAAACUGGCAGGCUGGAGUGCCGGAGAGGCAAGCGGAAUUCCUAGUGUAGCGGUGAAAUGCGUAGAUAUUAGGAGGAACACCAGUGGCGAAGGCGGCCUACUGGACGGUAACUGACGCUGAGGCUCGAAAGCGUGGGGAGCAAACAGGAUUAGAUACCCCAGUAGUC
Molecule: ribosomal RNA, 439 nt
Filed under: uncultured bacterium
Lineage: Bacteria
Description: partial 16S ribosomal RNA
Rfam family: Bacterial small subunit ribosomal RNA
Source: RNAcentral